GAUGAACGCUGGCGGCGUGCCUAAUACAUGCAAGUCGAGCGAACAGAUGAGGAGCUUGCUCCUCUGACGUUAGCGGCGGACGGGUGAGUAACACGUCGAUAACCUACCUAUAAGACUGGGAUAACUUCGGGAAACCGGAGCUAAUACCGGAUAAUAUAUUGAACCGCAUGGUUCAAUAGUGAAAGACGGUUUUGCUGUCACUUAUAGAUGGAUCCGCGCCGCAUUAGCUAGUUGGUAAGGUAACGGCUUACCAAGGCAACGAUGCGUAGCCGACCUGAGAGGGUGAUCGGCCACACUGGAACUGAGACACGGUCCAGACUCCUACGGGAGGCAGCAGUAGGGAAUCUUCCGCAAUGGGCGAAAGCCUGACGGAGCAACGCCGCGUGAGUGAUGAAGAUCUUCGGAUCGUAAAACUCUGUUAUUAGGGAAGAACAAAUGUGUAAGUAACUAUGCACGUCUUGACGGUACCUAAUCAGAAAGCCACGGCUAACUACGUG
RNAcentral lists this ribosomal RNA (497 nucleotides) under uncultured bacterium. RNAcentral's name for it is "partial 16S ribosomal RNA". It matches the Rfam family "Bacterial small subunit ribosomal RNA", at positions 28 to 507 of the family's 1533-position model. The record is from RNAcentral.